Molecule: long non-coding RNA, 380 nt
Filed under: Athene cunicularia (burrowing owl)
Lineage: Eukaryota; Metazoa; Chordata; Aves; Strigiformes; Strigidae
Description: lncRNA (ENSACUG00000000371.1)
Source: RNAcentral
GGGGAAACCAAGAGAUGAUCUGGACCCUCUCGUGUGAUGCUUUUACAGCUCGACCAUCCCCAAGAACAGUGGCACUGGCCAAGCCCAAGAAAGAUUUUGGCAAGCACCAGUGCAGACCCCUCUUCUUGUACAGCUGUGGACGGGAAUCAACAAUCUGGGAGCGUCCCCUGAUAGUGGAUUUUGCCUUCCCUUCUGAUCGGCUGCUGAAGUUGUCUGAACCUAAAAAAUGCUCCGCUGCUUACCUGCGGCAAAGACCUCGCCAGUCCCCCGAGUGGCCUGUGUCACCAGCUGCACGGAGUUAUAAAGCCUCCCCACGGAUCAUGGAGCUUGCCCAGCCAAAGGUGCUGCAUCCAGAGUUCUUGCUGGCCAGAGAGGUGAGG